UGUGAACAUACCUAUACGUUGCCUCGGCGGAUCAGCCCGCGCCCUGUAAAAAGGGACGGCCCGCCCGAGGACCCUAAACUCUGUUUUUAGUGGAACUUCUGAGUAAAACAAACAAAUAAAUCAAAACUUUCAACAACGGAUCUCUUGGUUCUGGCAUCGAUGAAGAACGCAGCAAAAUGCGAUAAGUAAUGUGAAUUGCAGAAUUCAGUGAAUCAUCGAAUCUUUGAACGCACAUUGCGCCCGCCAGUAUUCUGGCGGGCAUGCCUGUUCGAGCGUCAUUUCAACCCUCAAGCUCAGCUUGGUGUUGGGACUCGCGGUAACCCGCGUUCCCCAAAUCGAUUGGCGGUCACGUCGAGCUUCCAUAGCGUAGUAAUCAUACACCUCGUUACUGGUAAUCGUCGCGGCCACGCCGUAAAACCCCAACUUCUGAAUGUUGACCUCGGAUCAGGUAGGAAUACCCGCUGAACUUAAGCAUAUCAAUAAGCGGAGGAAAAGAAACCAACAGGGAUUGCCCUAGUAACGGCGAGUGAAGCGGCAACAGCUCAAAUUUGAAAUCUGGCUCUCGGGCCCGAGUUGUAAUUUGUAGAGGAUGCUUUUGAUGCGGUGCCUUCCGAGUUCCCUGGAACGGGACGCCGUAGAGGGUGAGAGCCCCGUCUGGUUGGAUGCCAAAUCUCUGUAAAGCUCCUUCGACGAGUCGAGUAGUUUGGGAAUGCUGCUCUAAAUGGGAGGUAUAUGUCUUCUAAAGCUAAAUACCGGCCAGAGACCGAUAGCGCACAAGUAGAGUGAUCGAAAGAUGAAAAGCACUUUGAAAAGAGAGUUAAAAAGUACGUGAAAUUGUUGAAAGGGAAGCGUUUAUGACCAGACUUGGGCUUGGUUAAUCAUCUGGGGUUCUCCCCAGUGCACUUUUCCAGUCCAGGCCAGCAUCAGUUUUCGCCGGGGGAUAAAGGCUUCGGGAAUGUGGCUCUCUCCGGGGAGUGUUAUAGCCCGUUGCGUAAUACCCUGGCGGGGACUGAGGUUCGCG
This 1021-nucleotide ribosomal RNA is filed under the name uncultured Fusarium. RNAcentral's name for it is "eukaryotic LSU rRNA". The stretch from base 435 to 1021 matches the Rfam family "Eukaryotic large subunit ribosomal RNA", at positions 1 to 599 of the family's 3401-position model. The record is from RNAcentral. Lineage: Eukaryota; Fungi; Ascomycota; Sordariomycetes; Hypocreales; Nectriaceae.